UACGUAGGGAGCAAGCGUUAUCCGGAUUUACUGGGUGUAAAGGGCGCGUAGGCGGGAAUGCAAGUCAGAUGUGAAAUCUGAGGGCUCAACCCUCAAACUGCAUUUGAAACUGUAUUUCUUGAGUGAUGGAGAGGCAAGUGGAAUUCCUAGUGUAGCGGUGAAAUGCGUAGAUAUUAGGAGGAACACCAGUGGCGAAGGCGACUUGCUGGACAUUAACUGACGCUGAGGCGCGAAAGCGUGGGGAGCAAACAGG
RNAcentral lists this ribosomal RNA (253 nucleotides) under uncultured bacterium. RNAcentral's name for it is "partial 16S ribosomal RNA". It matches the Rfam family "Bacterial small subunit ribosomal RNA", at positions 524 to 776 of the family's 1533-position model. The record is from RNAcentral.